Long non-coding RNA from Photinus pyralis (common eastern firefly), 1957 nucleotides. RefSeq lists it as uncharacterized. The record is from RefSeq and is a predicted model, not a curated record. The transcript is spliced from 3 exons. Lineage: Eukaryota; Metazoa; Arthropoda; Insecta; Coleoptera; Lampyridae.
GGGGCACAUCAACAACAGGUACGAAGACGCUUAUGGAAUAUGGAAAGACGAUGCACAAACUUUUAGUGCCCCCAUCGGAUAAGUUUGCAGUUUACGCUCGCAGUGACCGAGGGAAUUUCCAAAACGCAUGAGACGAGGCAAAAAUCUAGACUCCACAAUAUCAAAAAGGGCGCCCUUUAACGCUUACCGCUAACUUCGUGAUUGAAUUUGAAAUGUUCCAUCGCUUCUCAAAAUGUUUCGCUAUGCAGCUCUAUAGCCAGAGGGUGGUCAGUAAGCCCCACUUAGGACGUGGUCUGUACCACAAAAAUUACAACUCUCACAAUAGGCGGGUUUGGUAUUCUCAAAAAAAUGAAACGGGGAAGGGUUGAUAAAGCAGGACGCACACUAUCGCGGAAUUGAAUGGAACGGAGCGGAAUGGAAUGGAAAUUCUGAAUCUCCACACAUUAGCCCGGAAUUUCGCGGAACAAAAUUAUUUAAAUAUGAGUAAUUUAUUACCAGACUAGCUUGAUCCUGUUUGUAGGGUGUAAUGUUCUUUCGCAGUGGACACGUCAGACGAAGAAUUUGUAGCGCUGUGUGUAGUUUGAAUUUGAAGAAAUGAGGGAGAAAACAAAAAAAAACGCAAAUUUGUAUCGUAUGACAAAUAUAGGUAUGGAUAAUCACAUAAUAUAUUAAUUAAAAAUUCUUCAUUCAUUUCAAUAAUCAAACAAACACAAAAUGGGUACGGUAUAUUGUGAAAUGUCAGCGCUAUUUUAGUUUAUUUCCUGUAGGAAUAAACACGCUUUGUACGCGCUUUCGUCUAAACUAAACGAAGGGGGCUGUGGAACCGCGGAAAAAUUCGCUCAGUGAGCAAUCCAAGUCUUUCCAUUCCGUUCCAAUCCAUUCCGCGGUAGUCUGCGAACUCUAACUUAAUUAUAUGUUUUCAAAAUUUCCGUUCCGUUCCAUUCCCUUCCAUUCCGCGAUAGUGUGCGUCCUGCUUUAUGUGGACCUUGUAAGCAAAAUCAAAUAAGGAAAAAAAAUAUUCGAUGUAAUGUCAAAGUACAUGGUUAUAAAAAAUUAAUAAUUUUUGAAACGGGGAGGAGAUAUACUUUUAUGACACUAGAGUCUAUCUUUAGCUGUGCAGUUAUUCCCACACUUACAUAUGGCUACGGUAGACUGAGACACUCGCACGUGGUCAGGAAACUGACCUCGUUUGAAUCCCUAUUUCUAACAACCUUCCUCGAGGCAUACAAGACAGUACCCAAUGAUUCCCUUUGUGUAAUUGCCAAACGCUCUCCUCUUCAUUUUUGAUUGCAGGAAAAAUAUUGCGCCGUAUACAGCCAUAUUUCUAGAGACGAUUUUCCUUCCUUUUCGGUCGCCAAGCGUCACGUGAAGGCUUGGGUGAAUGGAAGCGGAUACCCUGGCCCAUCGGGUUGUUGUUUGUGGAGAGUACUAUUUCUGCAAAUUUUUUCAUGUCCGCCACUACAUAUCAUGGCAAAAAUGGUGAUUUGAUCUGUGUAUCAAGCUAUUAGAAACAAACAAUGAACCAAAUGGGGACAUGAGGCGUUGCGAGGAAUACGUCAAGCAACGAGACGAAUUUUGUCAAAAAUGUGAUCCAUGGAAGAUGCGACAUAAUAACUUUUCCCUGUUCAGGUGUGUAGGCGAUCGAUACGGAAAAGGUGAUUCCAUGGAACGUUUUUGCGAAUUACCUAUUCAUUUUUGAGUUUGUUCAAAAGUGUUGUCUGUUCUGUUUUUGUCACAGAAAAUAAUAUAACAUUAUAAGAUUUUUUAUCAACUUCAGGAACAUGUAUACAUUUUCUUUGUUGUAACUCACAAUUCUUAAUAAUUUGUAAACCCCAUAUCACCUCUAAGUGUAGAGAUUUUAAUGAACAAUUAUGUUUUAGAGAAAUGCUGUGUAUCAUUUUUGUGCAGUAAACAAACAAAAGUAUAACGAUGGAGUUGUUCCUACCUACAUGGUUUA